CUCCACUUCCAUGUGCAUAUCUGCCCUGUAAGCAGGGGACUGGGACAGACAAUGGUGGUACAGGAGAUGCAGCUGUGCCAGAGUGGGAGGAUGGGAGCUGGGCACAGCAGGGCACCCUUAUACUAGACCACAGGUAAUGACUCUUUGAGUCAGUGAGAGGGGCAGAAGUGAGUGAGACAAAAAUGGAGGUGCAGUCGGGGCUCAUCUCGAACUCCUAAGUGCUUUUUAUUUUUCUGUUUCCUAAGCCAGGGUGAAAUAGAUCUGCUAAAAAGAAGCUGGCGAAAAAGGCAAUGAGCCACAGAGAGAAGCGUAAGAGAUGGAAGGGCUCCAAUAUCAGUGCUCAGCGCUGUAACUUCUGCAUCCUUUACCAUAGACACGUCGCCUGCCAACCCGAAACUUCUCCCCGUGGCUUUUGGUAGGCAGAGAUUUUCUCCCAGCAGAGAAUUCUUUUCUCCAAAUGAGUAGGUAUCAAGCCUCAAACCUCUAAUAUCUCCCAAGAAAUUAGCCUCUUGACUAGUCAUUCCUACUAAGGGCUCUGUCCCUUUCUUCCAUACUUGCCUCAAAAUUAUAGGCAACAACUUCUAAAUGGAAAUACUACAGCUGUUGCCAUUUUCAUAUUAUCCUCACCUAUCAUAGGAAACCUAACAAUUAGCAUUUCCAGCAGGAUUGAAACUGCUAACACAACUUCUCUCUGUCCUACACCAUUAAACUUGAUUAGAAAUCCCUUCACGAUUAACAUUCAUCUCGCUGAAUCGUGCUUGAAGGUUAAUAAUAUCCACCAUCUCCUGAGAGAGGGGGAGGGGAGCGUGUUUAUUAAAUGAAGAGCAGCAGGAGGGCGCCAGGAGAGGCAAUUUUCUCUUCCGUCCACUAGAGGGUGGCUCCGCGGGGCCGGCGGGAGGACGGCGGAGACGCGGAGACAGCAUCCCCCAGCUCGCCUGCACUUUAGAUGUGUUUCAGACUCACACAGACUCCUUGGGGAUGCGGUGAGGAGCUAACCAACUGCACAUGGGAAAUGAGGAUUUUCGUGGUUAGAAAAACUGCAGUGUUUGGUAAUUUUCCACAUGGAGUUGAAGUUAGUGAGUUGUCUGGGCUGCAGAGGAAACUGCUGUAUCGUUAAACCCAAGGCCGACGACAAAAACAGCCGCCCUACCAGCAAAAUAGAUACCCCUCCUCAUUUCAUAAAUCUUGUUUCCAACGAGAAUAAAGCCAGGAACGGACUCUUGCUCACAGCAAUGGCCUGAAACGUCCUGUAUCAGGGUAGUCCGCUCAAAGGGACCCAGGGCACCCCGCAACAAUCUCAGGGCCGGGGAGGUGAUUGUAACCGACAGCCAGGAUCUGGCCCGGCUGCCCUAAUUCCCAGCAACACCCUCCGCAUCACAGCAGAGAAUGGUAGACAAAUAAAAACCUACACCACCAGCCAUCAGCAAGAACCACAAACGCUGCUGUGACUGAUCAAGACUUCAGCUGUCAAGAGUUGGCCAACUUCUCCCUCAUCUUCUCCCCGUCACCUGCCCACCCCCCUUCCCUCACAAAAAGCUUGUUAAUGGUGGAGGGCCCAACAGGAAAUGUUUUUACACUUAGCGCCAAAUGCUAAUCUUUCACUGAAGCCUUCAGUAUAUUUAAAUGUUUAGGUUACCGAGGCAAAAGGGAUUCUAAUAGACAUUACUUAGGGAAUAUGGAGAUUUAACAAUUUGGCUAAGCGUGUAUACAUUUAUUGAAUGUCCUCUUUAAUUAAGGAUUACCUUAAAAAAGCACAUGACAAUUCAAAGAGAAAGGGAAUUAUCAUUUAAGCCAUAACCAGCAUGAAACUUUGUGUUCCUUCAACAGAUGUUUGGGAUGAAGGAGAGGGGUGUAAAUAAAUUCUUAGUAGAUUAUAUAACAUUUCUUAACACAUCUAGAUUCACAUAUUUCUUCAUUUUCACAGAGUCCGCAUUGUAUUGUCUUGAAAUACUUUUUUUGUAGAACUAGAUUUGACAUGCACUUGUGAUACAUCAACCACUACAGAUAUCAAGCCAUUCUAAUCCAAAUAUGGAUAAAAGAUUCUGGUGAAAACUCUGCAUUGUCUUAUUUUGUAAAAAAUGGUUUGAAUUUUUAAGUACAUUAAUUGAAUUAAAUUCAUGGUAUUAGGUAUUUACGAAAAUAAAGACAUAUAUUCAGCAUAUUUAUUAUUUUAGUGAGUACCGGUGGAUUUUUCAGCCCAUGCAUUGUUUUGCAGUUUUCACAGAAUCUCUUAGAGCAACUGAAAAUGAUAUCCUUUCAAGAAAAUUCCGACUUUAUGAAAUUUUUCCAAAGAUGUUUAGAUUUAAUACUUCAAAUACAUUUCCCUUUUGUGACAUUCUUCUCUAGGGCUACCCAUAGUUGUCCCAAACCCAUUUUGAGGUCUCAGCUAAAAAUGUCAAAACCAGAGGUCUUUCCAAGGAGCGGCUGGGAACACGGAGGCCCUUUCUGCACAGCCAGUCUGACAGGCCCCUGGGUCUCCAUCAGGCCGGCCUCAUGUGGAUACACACAGCAGUUCUGCAAACAGAGAAGCAUCUCAUGCCCUUUCCCGGAAACAACACUUCCAGAAAAGAUGCUGACCAAGAAGAAACAGC
This 2591-nucleotide long non-coding RNA is filed under the name Sus scrofa (pig). Lineage: Eukaryota; Metazoa; Chordata; Mammalia; Artiodactyla; Suidae. The record is from RNAcentral.